Molecule: ribosomal RNA, 290 nt
Filed under: Salmonella enterica
Lineage: Bacteria; Pseudomonadati; Pseudomonadota; Gammaproteobacteria; Enterobacterales; Enterobacteriaceae
Also listed under: 2 other names
Description: partial 16S ribosomal RNA
Rfam family: Bacterial small subunit ribosomal RNA
Source: RNAcentral
AAAUUGAAGAGUUUGAUCAUGGCUCAGAUUGAACGCUGGCGGCAGGCCUAACACAUGCAAGUCGAACGGUAACAGGAAGCAGCUUGCUGCUUCGCUGACGAGUGGCGGACGGGUGAGUAAUGUCUGGGAAACUGCCUGAUGGAGGGGGAUAACUACUGGAAACGGUGGCUAAUACCGCAUAACGUCGCAAGACCAAAGAGGGGGACCUUCGGGCCUCUUGCCAUCAGAUGUGCCCAGAUGGGAUUAGCUAGUUGGUGAGGUAACGGCUCACCAAGGCGACGAUCCCUAGC